CAAUAGCGUAUAUUAAAGUUGUUGCAGUUAAAAAGCUCGUAGUUGGAUUUGUGGCGUACGGUGGGUUCCGGGCACUUGUUGUCUGAGUAACUUGCUGUUGCCAUCCUUGGGUGGAACCUGUGUGGCAUUAGGUUGUCGUGCAGGGGAUGCCCAUCAUUUACUGUGAAAAAAUUAGAGUGUUCAAAGCAGGCUUAUGCCGUUGAAUAUAUUAGCAUGGAAUAAUGAGAUAGGACUUUUUUGCUAUUUUGUUGGUUUGCGCAAAGAGGUAUGAUUAAUAGGGACAGUUGGGGGUAUUCGUAUUCCAUUGUCAGAGGUGAAAUUCUUGGAUUUUUGGAAGACGAACUACUGCGAAAGCAUUUACCAAGGAUGUUUUCAUUAA
Molecule: ribosomal RNA, 379 nt
Filed under: uncultured eukaryote
Lineage: Eukaryota
Description: partial 18S ribosomal RNA
Rfam family: Eukaryotic small subunit ribosomal RNA
Source: RNAcentral